Long non-coding RNA from Passer montanus (Eurasian tree sparrow), 222 nucleotides. RefSeq lists it as uncharacterized. The record is from RefSeq and is a predicted model, not a curated record. The transcript is spliced from 3 exons. Lineage: Eukaryota; Metazoa; Chordata; Aves; Passeriformes; Passeridae.
AGAGAUUGGAAUAAGUCUUACAUAUUACAAAAUUAAAGAAAAUGCUGCUGAGUACUAUGGAAAGGAGCUAAGUUAGAAGGCUACUUUCAAGGCCAGAAAGACCAUUUACAUCCACCUUGUCCUGGAUUCAGGAAAAAAGGUUUGUCUCAUAGGUUGAACUGAUGCACCUCUGCAAACAGGAGAAUAUCAGUGCUCUUACCGAAAGCAAACUUUUGUUCUGAG